UUCCAUCUCCAGGGGCUGAGCCAAUGAGGCGCAGCCGGAAUCUGGAGCGUUCUGCAGCGCGUGGGGUUCGAACGCGGGCGGGGUCGGCUCGCUGGGUUUGGCGCCGGGUGGAGGCGGGGUGCGCGCGUCUCCUGUUCCUUGUUAUGGGACGCUCUGCUGGCGUUUGGCUUGCCCGCUCUCAGCCCUGGCUCCUACUGAGGAAGCGUUUGCUGCCGGAGGGUGAUGGUAUCUGAUGAAGUACUGUUGAAGAAAGGGGCUGCCAGUGAGUGUGGAGGCCUGAUGCAGUUCUCCUUGCAUGUCUGGACCCUGGCCUACAAGGUAGGAGGAAUGACCUGGUCUAGAUUGUCUUGCCAGGCUUUGGUAGUUUGGAAUCGUGAGCUAUUUACUUAUGGUGGCCUCUACGGGCAAGUGCACCAUUUCUAAGUGCCUGUUGCCACAACAAAACUUCUGCAUGUCAUAGCUUUGCGUAAGACAUCCUGAAUCAUUUCUGAUAGAGAUGUCUCGGCCACACCCUGGAAGGAGAGUUGUGGAUUAUAGUGGGGGUGAAAUCAUCUGACCAAAGUCCUUUUAAUGUAGUGGGAAAUUUUUACUAGCUGGUACCUGGAAGCCACCAAGAGCACUUCCUCUAUUACACCGUAUAAUUCAUGCUUAGUGUAAACCAGUGGAAUUGCUGUAGUGGGGGCAGUAGCUCUGCUUUUAGGAUAGCGUUCUGGCGAUUGGCUUUUUCAUUUCCAUUGUCCAUUACCUCACCAAGGGUGUGUUUCACUGACAGAGAUCCACAGAGGAGUGAGUACACUAUUUCCCUCCUGUCCUUCCUUUUAGUCUCUGUGGGGCAGACCUGUAGCAUCCACAGGUGGUGGAUAGUGGAAUGACCUUCAGGGAAGGUUAGCCAUGAAAUAAGCAGGGGUAACUGAAGAAUAAGCACCAAGCAGCAGCAGCACCACCAGGAUGUGAUGGGGACAGCAAAUGGCAAAGGUUUCCCUCCUGAAAAGCCAUGUGUAUCCUCUGACCGUGCUGUGACAUGAUGAGUACAGGUCACCACUAUAAUAAGCCUGCCUAGCUCCUAGCUAUGGGUCUACAGUCCUCAACCGCAAAGCAGGUGGAAGAAAAUGUUAGAAUCUGAAUGGCUGGGGAGGCAGAUGAAGGCUGCAACUGAACGAGAUCCACAGCUGUCUUGGUCUCCCUGCCAUUGGAUUAAUGUCCCAUUCUGUCAUGAGCUGUGUGAAAGCUGAUAUGCAGCAGCUUUUCCAAAAUAAAAGAAGUCACGCACAGGCGUCUUCCAUGCCUUUUAGUCUUUCUGUUUUUCAGAUUGUUUUUCUUUCUCUCUGGCAAACAGUCCAAAGUAGAACUUUUUUUCAUAUUCUCAAAUAAAUGUGUAUCCCAUGAA
This is a long non-coding RNA of Alligator mississippiensis (American alligator), 1387 nucleotides long. RefSeq lists it as uncharacterized. NCBI's taxonomy places the organism in Eukaryota, Metazoa, Chordata, Crocodylia, Alligatoridae. The record is from RefSeq and is a predicted model, not a curated record. The transcript is spliced from 2 exons.